Molecule: ribosomal RNA, 253 nt
Filed under: uncultured bacterium
Lineage: Bacteria
Description: partial 16S ribosomal RNA
Rfam family: Bacterial small subunit ribosomal RNA
Source: RNAcentral
UACAGAGGGUGCAAGCGUUGUUCGGAAUUAUUGGGCGUAAAGGGAGUGUAGGCGGCUAGGAAAGUCUUCUGUGAAAUCUACGGGCUCAGCCUGUAACGUGCAGAGGAAACUAUCUGGCUAGAGUGUCGGAGAGGAUAGGGGAAUACCCAGUAUAGAGGUGAAAUUCGUAGAGAUUGGGUGGAACACCAGUGGCGAAGGCGCCUGUCUGGCUGACAACUGACGCUGAGACUCGAAAGCAUGGGGAGCAAACAGG